AUGAGGAUGACUAUUUCGUUGCUACUUUUGCAGGAGAGUUCUAUUAUCAGACCAGGUUCUGCGCGCAAAGCUAUUGUCAACAAAGGGAUGCCUCCGUGUCCCACGGGAACCUUGAGAAGCUUGUGCCGACUAUAUGGCAGCAACUGUUCGAGUGGGAAGCUGCUAUUGACAAUGGAUGCAUGCAAAUACUGA
RNAcentral lists this ribosomal RNA (192 nucleotides) under Triticum aestivum (bread wheat). RNAcentral's name for it is "partial small subunit ribosomal RNA". Lineage: Eukaryota; Viridiplantae; Streptophyta; Magnoliopsida; Poales; Poaceae. The record is from RNAcentral.